This is a long non-coding RNA of Anoplophora glabripennis (Asian longhorned beetle), 595 nucleotides long. RefSeq lists it as uncharacterized. The record is from RefSeq and is a predicted model, not a curated record. The transcript has 2 exons. NCBI's taxonomy places the organism in Eukaryota, Metazoa, Arthropoda, Insecta, Coleoptera, Cerambycidae.
GACUACGACACUAUUUACUUGCAACUUGUUUUAUAAUUAUAGAUUUUGAAUAUCUGAAAAAAAAAUACAUUAUUGAAAUUCAAACGCCGUAAGUGGCAUCAUUGCCUGCCAUUAAACGGUUCUAAAGGGGACGCCAUUAUUACAGUCUAUUGUUCUGAAAUAGAUAUUAGCCGAGUUCAGGGUUUUGUGUCUUUUUAAACUGUUUUUCUAUUUAAUUUCAAUAAAAAUGUCAAAGCGGUGUAUAAUAUGCCGACAAUUACAGGAAAAGAGCCAAAUAUGUGCUACUUCUUUUCACAACAGUGUCGAUGAAAAGGUUGUGCCAUCUCUAAAGUUCCCUCUUCGAGAAAUUGCCAGUGAAACAUCUUCAAUCGCAUGUCCCCGUUCCGUAAGAGAGGAGCUGUCAAUGCUAUGAGCUCAAAAUUCAGUUUAUUUUUGUUGAGUGCAUUUAAAACGUGCUUGGAACAUGUUUAUUUUCCCAUACGAUUAAAUGUUGUUCAAUGUAAUUUAAUUUUUCAGUUACUUUUAGUACAAAGUUUUGUUUUCUAUGCAUUGUUUAUAUUCCAGCAGAUUUUAAUGAAAUAUAUUUUUGCUCGUU